Long non-coding RNA from Esox lucius (northern pike), 457 nucleotides. RefSeq lists it as uncharacterized. The transcript is spliced from 3 exons. The record is from RefSeq and is a predicted model, not a curated record. Lineage: Eukaryota; Metazoa; Chordata; Actinopteri; Esociformes; Esocidae.
GUCUGUCUCGCUCUUUUCUUCCUGCAUCGUCUUUCCACCUCCCAGCGUUCAAUCCUGCUACUCUUUUCCAUUGAACCAGCGGUUGUAAUUGGUCACAUUCUCUUGACAAGCUCUGAGCUAGACCUGGAAACUAUCACCAGUCACGCGUCUAACAUCUCGGCCCUGCCGGGAUCAGAGGCUCAUUCACACAGCUCUCCCGUCUUCUGUCUGGAACACACAUGCCCAAGCUGGAUUUAAAUGGUUGAAUGAAGCCGUUUGGCCUGUGGCAAGAGAGGAUUGUCGACACGCCAUGUCAUAGAUAUCAGUCUACAACUCUGACAGACUGACAGAAACAGAUGACUGUUUCUGAUCCUCAAGCCUAAGACCAGGUUGGACCCCUGUUCCCAGUCCUCUAUCCCAGCUGGGUGCUGCUGUCCCGGGCCAGACGGCUCCCUCUCCCACUCCUGGUCCGCGGGAG